GCUCGCCGCCGCCUCCGCUGCCGCCUUGAUAUAGUGCGGCGCGGGCGGCGCGGCCGCACUUGGCGAGCGGCGCUCGCGGCUGGGGCAGGCGGGCGUCGAAGCGGGUUGCCCGGCGCUCGGCCACCGCCAACUUGGGAAGUGUCCGCCCGGGCGAGCUCCCACCAUGAGCCGCCUCCUGCCUCUCUGCCUGCUCGGAUUGCUCCUGGGCGGCGGGCAAGGUUUCUUCACGCAGAGGAGGGGAUGACAGAACAAUUGGAGAGAAAAGUGGGUGGUAGAGAGGGCAGCUAAGGAAUAAGAUCUUCUCAACAAGAAGGAAUUGCUUACAAACAAGAAGGAA
RNAcentral lists this long non-coding RNA (337 nucleotides) under Crocodylus porosus (Australian saltwater crocodile). RNAcentral's name for it is "lncRNA (ENSCPRG00005013258.1)". Lineage: Eukaryota; Metazoa; Chordata; Crocodylia; Crocodylidae. The record is from RNAcentral.